RNAcentral lists this ribosomal RNA (563 nucleotides) under Salmonella enterica subsp. enterica serovar Rubislaw. RNAcentral's name for it is "partial 23S ribosomal RNA". It matches the Rfam family "Bacterial large subunit ribosomal RNA", at positions 1216 to 1772 of the family's 2925-position model. RNAcentral also lists the same sequence under 1 other name. The record is from RNAcentral. Lineage: Bacteria; Pseudomonadati; Pseudomonadota; Gammaproteobacteria; Enterobacterales; Enterobacteriaceae.
AGGUGUUGUUGGGUAGGGGAGCGUUCUGUAAGCCUGCGAAGGUGGCCUGUGAGGGUUGCUGGAGGUAUCAGAAGUGCGAAUGCUGACAUAAGUAACGAUAAAGCGGGUGAAAAGCCCGCUCGCCGGAAGACCAAGGGUUCCUGUCCAACGUUAAUCGGGGCAGGGUGAGUCGACCCCUAAGGCGAGGCCGAAAGGCGUAGUCGAUGGGAAACGGGUUAAUAUUCCCGUACUUGGUGUUACUGCGAAGGGGGGACGGAGAAGGCUAUGUUGGCCGGGCGACGGUUGUCCCGGUUUAAGCGUGUAGGUGUGUGUUCCAGGUAAAUCCGGUUCACUUUAACACUGAGGCGUGACGACGAGGCACUACGGUGCUGAAGCAACAAAUGCCCUGCUUCCAGGAAAAGCCUCUAAGCAUCAGGUAACAUCAAAUCGUACCCCAAACCGACACAGGUGGUCAGGUAGAGAAUACCAAGGCGCUUGAGAGAACUCGGGUGAAGGAACUAGGCAAAAUGGUGCCGUAACUUCGGGAGAAGGCACGCUGACACGUAGGUGAAGUGAUUUACUCA